This 320-nucleotide unclassified non-coding RNA is filed under the name plant metagenome. RNAcentral's name for it is "partial contains 5.8S ribosomal RNA, internal transcribed spacer 2, and large subunit ribosomal RNA". The stretch from base 1 to 105 matches the Rfam family "5.8S ribosomal RNA", at positions 50 to 154 of the family's 154-position model. The record is from RNAcentral.
GAAAUGCGAUAAGUAAUGUGAAUUGCAGAAUUCAGUGAAUCAUCGAAUCUUUGAACGCACAUUGCGCCCGCCAGUAUUCUGGCGGGCAUGCCUGUUCGAGCGUCAUUACAACCCUCAGGCCCCCGGGCCUGGCGUUGGGGAUCGGCGGAAGCCCCCUGCGGGCACAACGCCGUCCCCCAAAUACAGUGGCGGUCCCGCCGCAGCUUCCAUUGCGUAGUAGCUAACACCUCGCAACUGGAGAGCGGCGCGGCCACGCCGUAAAACACCCAACUUCUGAAUGUUGACCUCGAAUCAGGUAUGAAUACCCGCUGAACUUAAGC